GAAUUUUGGACAAUGGGCGAAAGCCUGAUCCAGCAAUGCCGCGUGCAGGAUGAAGGCCGUCGGGUUGUAAACGGCUUUUGUGAGGAACGAAAAGCUUUGGGUUAAGAACCUGGAGGCAUGACGGUAACGUAAGAAAAAGCACCGACUAACGACGUGCCAGCAGCCGCGGUAAUACGUAGGGUGAAGGCGUUAAUCGGCAUUCCCUGGCGUAAAGCGUGCGCAGGCGGUUUUGUAAGACAGAGGUGAAAUCCCCGGGCUCAACCUGGGAACUGCCUUUGUGACUGCAAGGCUAGAGUACGGCAGAGGGGGGCGGAAUUCCGCGUGUAGCAGUGAAAUGCGUAGAUAUGCGGAGGAACACCGAUGGCGAAGGCAACCCCCUGGGCCUGUACUGACGCUCAUGCACGAAAGCGUGGGGAGCAAACAGG
Molecule: ribosomal RNA, 425 nt
Filed under: uncultured bacterium
Lineage: Bacteria
Description: partial 16S ribosomal RNA
Rfam family: Bacterial small subunit ribosomal RNA
Source: RNAcentral